This 1012-nucleotide ribosomal RNA is filed under the name Salmonella enterica. RNAcentral's name for it is "bacterial SSU rRNA". It matches the Rfam family "Bacterial small subunit ribosomal RNA", at positions 108 to 1116 of the family's 1533-position model. Lineage: Bacteria; Pseudomonadati; Pseudomonadota; Gammaproteobacteria; Enterobacterales; Enterobacteriaceae. The record is from RNAcentral.
GAGUAAUGUCUGGGAAACUGCCUGAUGGAGGGGGAUAACUACUGGAAACGGUGGCUAAUACCGCAUAACGUCGCAAGACCAAAGAGGGGGACCUUCGGGCCUCUUGCCAUCAGAUGUGCCCAGAUGGGAUUAGCUUGUUGGUGAGGUAACGGCUCACCAAGGCGACGAUCCCUAGCUGGUCUGAGAGGAUGACCAGCCACACUGGAACUGAGACACGGUCCAGACUCCUACGGGAGGCAGCAGUGGGGAAUAUUGCACAAUGGGCGCAAGCCUGAUGCAGCCAUGCCGCGUGUAUGAAGAAGGCCUUCGGGUUGUAAAGUACUUUCAGCGGGGAGGAAGGUGUUGUGGUUAAUAACCGCAGCAAUUGACGUUACCCGCAGAAGAAGCACCGGCUAACUCCGUGCCAGCAGCCGCGGUAAUACGGAGGGUGCAAGCGUUAAUCGGAAUUACUGGGCGUAAAGCGCACGCAGGCGGUCUGUCAAGUCGGAUGUGAAAUCCCCGGGCUCAACCUGGGAACUGCAUUCGAAACUGGCAGGCUUGAGUCUUGUAGAGGGGGGUAGAAUUCCAGGUGUAGCGGUGAAAUGCGUAGAGAUCUGGAGGAAUACCGGUGGCGAAGGCGGCCCCCUGGACAAAGACUGACGCUCAGGUGCGAAAGCGUGGGGAGCAAACAGGAUUAGAUACCCUGGUAGUCCACGCCGUAAACGAUGUCUACUUGGAGGUUGUGCCCUUGAGGCGUGGCUUCCGGAGCUAACGCGUUAAGUAGACCGCCUGGGGAGUACGGCCGCAAGGUUAAAACUCAAAUGAAUUGACGGGGGCCCGCACAAGCGGUGGAGCAUGUGGUUUAAUUCGAUGCAACGCGAAGAACCUUACCUGGUCUUGACAUCCACGGAAGUUUUCAGAGAUGAGAAUGUGCCUUCGGGAACCGUGAGACAGGUGCUGCAUGGCUGUCGUCAGCUCGUGUUGUGAAAUGUUGGGUUAAGUCCCGCAACGAGCGCAACCCUUAUCCUUUGUU